RNAcentral lists this unclassified non-coding RNA (153 nucleotides) under uncultured fungus. RNAcentral describes it as "sequence contains ITS1". The record is from RNAcentral. Lineage: Eukaryota; Fungi.
UUAUUUCUCAUGUUUUGAUUCAGACACAAAAGGCAGAUUAAGGCAUAAAAGCGGCGCCGAAGCGCCGAAGCACGUCUUGCUUCCACAGGUUUGCAAGGUUGAAGGCCUAGAGGCCAUUCAGUAAUGAUCCCUCCGCAGGUUCACCUACGGAGA